CAUCUGAGUCUUCAUCACGUUUGUAAAACGUUGAAACUGCCCAUGAUAAAGUGAACACGUGGGACACGUAGCCACCAAAACUUGAUGGAAGCUUUGGCUAUAAAUAGAACGGUUUGGUCCCCAAACUCACUCAACUCAAUCACUUCAGUCUUACACCAUCUAAAUAGAGUGAGUAUAGCUUGGAAGUGCCAAAACAAACUUGAUGGAAGUUUUGGUUAUAAAUAGUACGGUUUGGUCCCCAAACUCAGUCAACUCAAUCCCUUCAUUCUUACACCAUCUAAAUAGAGUGAGUAGAGCUUGAAAGUGCCACACACAAAGAGAGAGAGAGAGAGAGAGAGAGAGAGAGAGAGAGAGAGAGAGUGUGUGAGAGAGAGAGAGAGAGUGUGUGUGUGUGAAUAAGCAUCAAUGGCUGAAGGUAUGAUUCCUUGUAUAUUUUCAGUUUUGAUUCUUAAUAAGUGUUUAAUUCCAUAUUAUAGAAUCAUUAUUAAGCUUACAUUCUUUGCUUUCGUUUCCAUGGGUGCCUUAAGGCUUGAUUAUUGGAAUGGCAAAACCUACAAAGUUCUCUCUUGGCCUUUCCGGUGUUAUUAAGGGUGCUUUUCUUUCUUUCAUUUCCAUGGGUGCCUUAAAAGUUUGAUUACUGGAAUGACGAAACCCACCAAGUUCUCUCUAAAAAAAUAUUUGUCACUUGAUUUUUUUUUUCAUUAAAUUUUGACACGUCCUUGAUUACUUUUUUAUUUCUUUUAUUUUUUUUUUUUUUCUCAUUAAACUGUGCCACAUCCCCCGAAUAUAUCUCGUUUGCACAGCAACAACUGUACCCAACAAAACUGAGUUCCCAUAUUUUUGGAAAUCAGGUGUUCAAAUAGAGAGAUCAAGAUGUGAUUUAUAAUGGAGUUUGCGGAGAAUUUGGUUUUAAAGUUGAUGGACGACCAGGAGAGGGAUAGGAAGUUCAGGGAGCACUUGUAUGCAGUGAAGGAUCGGUGCAACAUGACCAAGGAGAUGUGGACCUAUCCUCUCCCGCCUUACGGGUUCUGGACCUUUGAGCGCCACAAUGCUCAACUGAGACCCACUGGAAAGACAACACAGACAUCAUGUGUGCAAUGAACACAAAGUUGAACUUAUUUCAUAUAAACUGUAGCAUCGGUUAUUCAUUACUUUUUGUUUCACUAAUGAAAAAAAUUUAAUUGCAAGUACAAUUAUACACUAAUAUUAAACAAACUUUUCUGUGAUUGGUCACUAA
Long non-coding RNA from Carya illinoinensis, 1237 nucleotides. RefSeq lists it as uncharacterized. The record is from RefSeq and is a predicted model, not a curated record. NCBI's taxonomy places the organism in Eukaryota, Viridiplantae, Streptophyta, Magnoliopsida, Fagales, Juglandaceae. The transcript is spliced from 2 exons.